Nycticebus coucang (slow loris) is the source of this 1384-nucleotide RNA transcript. It is a transcript of the gene named isovaleryl-CoA dehydrogenase, mitochondrial-like, with no coding region annotated. The transcript has a single exon. The record is from RefSeq and is a predicted model, not a curated record. Lineage: Eukaryota; Metazoa; Chordata; Mammalia; Primates; Lorisidae.
AUGGCGACCCCAACUCAGCUACUGGGGCACCGAGUGGUAACCUGGAGGCUGUGGCCGCCACUGCCGCCCCUCGCUGGCCUCAUUUCCUAGAGGAUCCACUCUCUGCUGCCUGUGGAUGAUGCGAUCAACGGGCUAAGUGAGGAGCAGAAGCAGCUUCGUCAGACCAUGGCUAAGUUCCUUCAGGAGCACCUGGCCCCCAAGGCCCAAGAGAUUGAUCGUAGCAACGAGUUCAAAAACCUGAGUUUUGGAAGCAGCUGGGGAACCUGGGAGUUCUGGGGAUCACAGUCCCUGUUCAGUAUGGCAGCUCUGGCCUGGGCUACCUGGAACGUGUGCUGGUGAUGGAGGAGAUAUCCCGAGCAUCUGGAGCAGUGGGGCUCAGCUAUGGUGCCUCCUCAAACCUAGGCAUCAACCAGCUUGUGCACAAUGGGAAUGAGGCCCAGAAGGAGAAGUAUCUCCCCAAGCUGAUCAGUGGUGAGUGCAUCAGAGCCCUGGCCAUGAGCGAGCCCAAUGCUGGCUCUGAUGUUGUUUCCAUGAAGCUCAAAGCAGAAAAGAAAGGAGAUCACUACAUUCUGAAUGGCAACAAGUUCUGCAUCACCAAUGGCCCUGAUGCUGACAUCAUUAUAGUCUAUGCCAAGAAUAAUCUUGCUGCUGUGCCAGCUUCUCCGGGCAUCACAACCUUCAUUGUGAAGAAGGGUAUGCCUGGCUUCAGCACCUCUAAGAAGCUUGACAAGCUGGGGAUGAGGGGUUCUAACACCUGUGAGCUAAUCUUUGAAGACUGCAAGGUUCCUGCUGCCAACGUCCUGGGCCAUGAGAGUAAGGGCAUUGUACGUGCUGAUGAGUGGGCUGGACCUGGAGCGGCUGGUGCUGGCUGGGGGACCCCUCGGGCUCAUGCAAGCUGUCCUGGACCAUGCCAUUCCCUACCUGCACAUGAGGGAAGCCUUUGGCCAGAAGAUUAGCCACUUCUAGUUGAUGCAGGGGAAGAUGGCCAGUAUGUACACCCGCCUCAUGGCAUGUCGGCAGUACAUCCAUAAUGUUGCCAAGGCCUGUGAUGAGGGCCACUGCACUGCCAAUGACUGUGCAGGAGUGAUUCUUUACUCAGCUGAGUGUGCCACGAAAGUAGCCCUGGAUGGCAUUCAGUGUUUUGGUGGCAAUGGCUACAUCAAUGACUUUCCCAUGGGCCGCUUUCUUCGAGAUGCCAAGCUGUAUGAGAUUGGGGCUGGGACCAGUGAAGUGAAGCAGCUGGUCAUUGGCAGAGCCUUCAACGCAGACUUUCACUAGCCCUAAGACCCAUCACCCCCUUUUCCCAGCACCUAGAGGCCUUUCUUUGCAAGUAGAGACAUGGCAGCUCUCCUGCUCUGCCUGAGGCAGACCCUGUUGCUCAGCU